This 608-nucleotide ribosomal RNA is filed under the name uncultured bacterium. RNAcentral's name for it is "bacterial SSU rRNA". It matches the Rfam family "Bacterial small subunit ribosomal RNA", at positions 79 to 667 of the family's 1533-position model. The record is from RNAcentral.
UCGGGUGCUGAGUAGAGUGGCGCACGGGUGAGUAACACGUGAAUGACCUACCCUUCAGAGGGGGAUAACUCGCCGAAAGGCGUGCUAAUACCGCAUAUUGCCUUUGCAUUUUGGUGCAGAGGUGAAACGGUGGGGACCUUCGGGCCUGCCGCUGAAGGAGGGGUUCGCGUCCGAUUAGCUAGUAGGUGGGGUAAUGGCCCACCUAGGCGACGAUCGGUAGCUGGUCUGAGAGGAUGACCAGUCACAAUGGAACUGAGACACGGUCCAUACUCCUACGGGAGGCAGCAGUGGGGAAUUUUGCGCAAUGGGGGCAACCCUGACGCAGCGACGCCGCGUAGGUGACGAAGCUUUUUGGAGUGUAAAACCUUGUCACCGGUGACGAAUGUGCAUUAUUUAAUAGGUAUUGUACUUGACGGUAGCCGGAGAGGAAGCCCCGGCUAACUCCGUGCCAGCAGCCGCGGUAACACGGGGGGGGCAAGCGUUAUUCGGAAUUACUGGGCGUAAAGGGCGCGUAGGCGGUCUGUUAAGUGUGAAGUGAAAUCCCUCGGCUCAACCGAGGACGUGCUUUGCAUACUGGUGGACUUGAGUCCGAGAGGGGGUGGUGGAAU